Molecule: long non-coding RNA, 493 nt
Organism: Xiphophorus hellerii (green swordtail)
Lineage: Eukaryota; Metazoa; Chordata; Actinopteri; Cyprinodontiformes; Poeciliidae
Exons: 3
Source: RefSeq, a predicted model, not a curated record
CAAAGGCCCGGUUCGACCAGGCCGCACCGAGACACUAAACCAGCUUUCUGAUAUUCAUCCGCCCUGGAACCCGGAUUUAAAAAUCUCAUUUUCUGAUUUCCCAGGACGCCGACGUGGACGCCCAGCCUGAAAAACUACAAACUUCUGCGGAUUCACCUGAAAUCGUCUCCGUGUUGAUUGGGCCUACUAGUCUGGCGCCUAAACACACCUGCUGAGAAUCAGGUGGAGUGGGCUAACAGGGCGCGGGACCGCCAUGUUUGAAAUCGCUGCGUUUGUUUCAAGCAGCAGAGGACCGACCCGGCCAUGGCGUCUCAGCGGUGGUUUGUCUGGCUGCUGAUGAAGACAAGCUGAGGACCGCCAUCUUUGAAAUCGCUGCGUUUGUUACAAGCAGCAGAAGGCCACCCGACCACGGCAUCGCAGCGAUGGUUUGUUUGGGUGCUGGCGUCCCUGAAAUAUGUGGAAAAAAUGGCGUCUGGAGCCAGCAGUUGAUCGA